Molecule: ribosomal RNA, 414 nt
Filed under: uncultured bacterium
Lineage: Bacteria
Description: bacterial SSU rRNA
Rfam family: Bacterial small subunit ribosomal RNA
Source: RNAcentral
AGAGUUUGAUCCUGGCUCAGAUUGAGCGCUGGCGGCAUGCCUUACACAUGCAAGUCGAACGGCAGCACGGGAGCUUGCUCCUGGUGGCGAGUGGCGAACGGGUGAGUAAUACAUCGGAACGUACCCAGGAGUGGGGGAUAACGUAGCGAAAGUUACGCUAAUACCGCAUAUUCUGUGAGCAGGAAAGCGGGGGAUCGCAAGACCUCGCGCUCUUGGAGCGGCCGAUGUCGGAUUAGCUAGUUGGUGAGGUAAAAGCUCACCAAGGCGACGAUCCGUAGCAGGUCUGAGAGGAUGAUCUGCCACACUGGGACUGAGACACGGCCCAGACUCCUACGGGAGGCAGCAGUGGGGAAUUUUGGACAAUGGGGGCAACCCUGAUCCAGCCAUGCCGCGUGAGUGAAGAAGGCCUUCGGG